GAUGAACGCUAGCGGGAGGCCUAACACAUGCAAGCCGAGCGGUAUUUGUUCUUCGGAACAGAGAGAGCGGCGCACGGGUGCGGAACACGUGUGCAACCUGCCUUUAUCUGGGGGAUAGCCUUUCGAAAGGAAGAUUAAUACCCCAUAAUAUAUUGAGUGGCAUCAUUUGAUAUUGAAAACUCCGGUGGAUAGAGAUGGGCACGCGCAAGAUUAGAUAGUUGGUGAGGUAACGGCUCACCAAGUCAAUGAUCUUUAGGGGGCCUGAGAGGGUGAUCCCCCACACUGGUACUGAGACACGGACCAGACUCCUACGGGAGGCAGCAGUGAGGAAUAUUGGACAAUGGGUUAGCGCCUGAUCCAGCCAUCCCGCGUGAAGGACGACGGCCCCAUGGGUUGUAAACUUCUUUUGUAUAGGGAUAAACCUACUCUCGUGAGAGUAGCUGAAGGUACUAUACGAAUAAGCACCGGCUAACUCCGUG
This 479-nucleotide ribosomal RNA is filed under the name uncultured bacterium. Its description in RNAcentral is "partial 16S ribosomal RNA". It matches the Rfam family "Bacterial small subunit ribosomal RNA", at positions 28 to 507 of the family's 1533-position model. The record is from RNAcentral.